RNAcentral lists this transfer RNA (66 nucleotides) under Phascolosoma esculenta. Its description in RNAcentral is "tRNA-Ser". Lineage: Eukaryota; Metazoa; Annelida; Sipuncula; Phascolosomatiformes; Phascolosomatidae. The record is from RNAcentral.
AAGAGUGUUCUGAACAGAAAAAAGCUUCUAACUUUUUCCUAAGCAGUUAAACUCUGCUUACUCUUU